AACAAACACAAUUGAAACGAGAAAGAAACGCGAAAAAUGCGCGAUUUGCACGAUUGCCAGUGUGUUUGAUUGUUUCGCUGCUGUGUGCGUGUGUUGCAAACCGUUAGCUGGUAGGUGGCAUGCGCGCCACCAAUAAACAGCAGUAAAAGCAAAAAUUGAGUGACUAAGCGCCGCGCAGAUUUGAGUGAAUGAAACGAGUGAAUUCGCCUACGCCAUUGGAAUACAUUCUCGUCGUUUUUGUUUAAAUUCUAGCGAGGGUGCUUGGUGAGGGGGGUGAUUAAAGCGCACGAUAACAACUCUUACUUAUGCCACUACCGCUGCUAUAACUGUGUAUGUGGGUGGUUUUGAUAGCUAGUACAAUUGAAAAUCUAUUUUACUUCACUUUAACUGCAAUUAGCAACGCCGACGGCGCGAAUUAAGAUUAUGCUGUAAGAAGUUAUCAUGUCAACGCGAGCGCAUUUUUUUAGCGAGGGGUCACCGGAAAUGGCGUAGCAAUGGCCGAGUUUAAAACAUUCUUUUGAAGAAUUUUAUCCGAGGACACAUAUGGGUUUCCUUAAGAAAAGAGAGAACGCAAUUAACACCAAACAUGAUUUUCCUGUUAAGCAAGAUAUUGUUGAAAUUUCUUUGAGACAAAUGGCGUCAGUCGUCCCUUAAUACGAAGUAUGACCCACAUACAUACAUAUCUCAUUUCUACACUAAGAUACAGUUUAAUAGAUAUAUGCAUAUAAAAGGAAUAAGAGAACUAAAAUUUUAUCAUACUAACAACAAAUUAUUAUAUCCGAUUCAAGCAGCCGUAGCCAAGGCUGCCGACGGCUAAUUACAAUUAAAGCGGAAGAACUUACGCUUAAAACCUAUCAAAUAUCAAGAAACAGCACAGCUUUUUUCUAAUCUUUUAAUAUAUCUACAAACUUAUAUUACAUAUUUAUUUAAAAAUAUAAAUGUAUAUACAAAUGUAUAUGUGGACUUUCUGUUCGUAAAUUGAAUUAUUGGAUAAAUAAGCUUUACAAUAACGCUUUAAUGUUUUUUGUUUUAUCAAUUGCAAACAGAUGUCAUGCAUAAGUAAUUUUGGGAAAUUUUUUUAACAACAAAAUCCUUGUCCCUAAAUGCUAGAGAAGUUUUAUGAUGAUAGAAGUGACCUUUUCGAUUUUCAUAAAUUCAAGUUAUGCCAUGAAAGCCUCAA
Bactrocera tryoni is the source of this 1180-nucleotide long non-coding RNA. RefSeq lists it as uncharacterized. Lineage: Eukaryota; Metazoa; Arthropoda; Insecta; Diptera; Tephritidae. The transcript is spliced from 3 exons. The record is from RefSeq and is a predicted model, not a curated record.